Molecule: ribosomal RNA, 329 nt
Filed under: uncultured eukaryote
Lineage: Eukaryota
Description: partial 18S ribosomal RNA
Rfam family: Eukaryotic small subunit ribosomal RNA
Source: RNAcentral
CCCUUAGAUGUUCUGGGCCGCACGCGCGCUACACUGACGGAGGCAGCGAGCGUGUCCUUCGCCGGCAGGUGCGGGCAAUCUUGCGAGUCUCCGUCGUGCUGGGGAUAGAUGGUUGCAAUUGUCGAUCUUGAACGAGGAAUUCCUAGUAAGCGCGGGUCAUCAGCUCGCGCUGAUUAUGUCCCUGCCCUUUGUACACACCGCCCGUCGCUACUACAGAGUGCCCGUGUCCAAGAAACGGUCGGACCUGUGCGGCCUCUCCGGGCGACCGGAGGGCCGUUACGGGGAAGACCCUUUAUUUGACGCGGGUCGAUGAAGUAAAAGUCGUAACA